Molecule: long non-coding RNA, 2139 nt
Organism: Chinchilla lanigera (long-tailed chinchilla)
Lineage: Eukaryota; Metazoa; Chordata; Mammalia; Rodentia; Chinchillidae
Exons: 5
Source: RefSeq, a predicted model, not a curated record
AAGAGAUCAUAACAUCUUUCAAAAUGAUGUAGAAAUGGCUCAUUCGUACACAGAAAGAUGAUUAAUAUCAACAGUUGUCGGAAGCAUAAUGUUAUUUUCAUUACCUGUAACCAAAGAAAUGGAAUAGAAGCACCUAUUCACUUAGCUACUUCAUCUCAAGAAAGGUCCCUGAUUUCUCUGUCACCAUCUGAUACAAAUCCUUUUGUCUGCUUAAGCGUUGCUGAAAGUAAAAGCUCUCUACUUUUUUGUGAUUAUUAGAAGACAGGUUUUGGGGAAGAUAAACACAACCAUACAUGAAGUACCUUUUUAACUUCCCACCAGGGAGGAGAUUGUGACUGAACUGAUAAAUAGGUUUAUGACAGAAGAGACUAUGGCAAAGACCUGCAAGUGAGUGCUCGGCAGCUUCCUGGUUCCUGCAUUUCGAGGAUGUAAGAAGUCCAGUUGGACCCUCUGGGCAAGAGUGCAUAAACAAUGAAACAAAUUUCCCUGCUGUGGCACCAGUUUGGCAACUUCUGAUCCACCAGUUCACUGCAAGGAGAGAAGACCUCGCUUCAUAAGUGUUCAGUGUCGUGCUUUGCUGUGGUUUCCAGAUGUUUUAAUUACAUAGCCUAACGUAGAACUUGAAGAUGAACUUCAAAAUUGAGCAGAAAAGUUACAGACAGCUGGUGUGCUGUCAAGCCUAAUAAGCUGAACCUCUUGCAUUACCAGCAAUUUACUUUCAUUGUCCUCAGCCCUCAGCAUGGCCAAGAUUAGGAGAGAGGGUCAGCGGUACCCACAUGGUAAACCCCACCGAAGGAAGCGAAGUAAACGGCAAUGUUCAUUUAUUUUUACCAUUGAUGAAUGACACUUGAUAGGAAUAUUUUUAACAUAUUUGUUUGAAAAUCGUUCCUGACACAUAGGUGACAUUUUUGAUUUGUAACAUUAUCGCAGGACAAGGACUCAUUUUCUAACCGUUCCUUGCUGCAGUCCUCGCUGUCCCUUUGUUAUUACUUGUCACUGGGGAACCCUGAUUACAUAUGUUCUUCACAGUAUGUGUAUAUUACCCAGAGGCUAAUUGUUCUUCUCAGUUAGUCUUCUAAAUUGGAAUUUCUGCUAAAAUGCAGUUUACAUGUGUAUUUCCCUAUGACUUAAUUGAAGUAUCUCUGUAAAGUUUGUGAAUCAAAAUUGUUGAUGGUUCCUAGUGUAUUAGUCAGCUUUGCUGUCCCUGAAAGAAAUGCAUGACCCCACAAUGUAAAGGAGCAGAGGCUUGAGGUGACCCUUGCUUUCAUCUUUGUAGACGAUGGCCAUCCGGCUGCAAAGCAGACAUAGCAUGGCAAAGGGUGUGGCUGAGGACAGCUGCGCAUGCCUUGGCAGCCAGAAACACAGAGCGAGUGAGAAAGUGGAAGCAGCACGAUUCAGGAUAGCUGGAAUCCCCAAAAUGAGCACAAUUGUUAGGUACUGCAAACAUGUAAUAAUAAAAAAUAGAAUUAAAAAAAAAAAAAAGAACUGAAGAGCUGGGGACAGGCCUAAACGGCUUCAGUUCAUGGUCAGUGACCCAUGUCGAAGGAAUCCCUAACAGUACAUUUAGUGCUAGGUGUCCGUGGUGCUGACAGUUUCCAAACACUCUCCCUCUGAACAGAUUCUUCUGAUCUGAAGUAAUGUCCGAGGAAAUCCAUACAAGUAAGCCUUGGUCUCUCCUCGUAAAAGGCUAUUUAAAUCCUUUUUUUUUUCUUUUUUUUUUGCCCAAACUUUUAAAUACUAUUAAAUGCAUAUAAAUUCUACAAGUUAAUGGGUUCCACUAGGACAUUUUCACACAUGCAUGUAUAGUGAUUUCAUUGUUUCCACCACUUUUACAUCUGCUUUUACCCUCUGCUUUCUCACCACUCCCCCUGACCCAAGUCACUGCACUCUCCUACUUUUAUGUAAUUUAGCUACACUUUCUGUUCUGUUUUUCACAUGUGAAAGAAACCUUGCCAGACUUACUUUUCUGUCUGGCUUCUACUGCUCCAUAGGAUAAUGUCCAGUUUCAUCCAUUUUUCUUGCAAAUAGUAAGACUUCAAACUUCCUUAAAGUAAAUAAUUCUCCAGUGUGUACAUGUACCUCAUUCAUGUAUCCAUUCACAUUUUUGGCUAGUUAAAAAUUGCCACAUUAAACAUGGGG